UCACUUCUGAAAGGUUUUGCUCAUCACUCAGCAUUUCCGUGGUCCUUUCAUAGCCUAGGUUAGUGACCUUAUAAAUUGCACUCAGGAGGGGCCCUCACCUAAGGUCUACCCAACUGGUGAGGCCUACAUCAUAAUUUGUGACAGGGGAUUUGCAUUCGCGCAGUCCCCGC
This 170-nucleotide small nuclear RNA is filed under the name Daucus carota subsp. sativus. RNAcentral describes it as "snRNA U1". It matches the Rfam family "U1 spliceosomal RNA". From Rfam's summary of the family: U1 is a small nuclear RNA (snRNA) component of the spliceosome (involved in pre-mRNA splicing). The record is from RNAcentral. Lineage: Eukaryota; Viridiplantae; Streptophyta; Magnoliopsida; Apiales; Apiaceae.